This 194-nucleotide ribosomal RNA is filed under the name uncultured bacterium. Its description in RNAcentral is "partial 16S ribosomal RNA". It matches the Rfam family "Bacterial small subunit ribosomal RNA", at positions 338 to 524 of the family's 1533-position model. The record is from RNAcentral.
CCUACGGGAGGCAGCAGUGGGGAACAUUGGACAAUGGGCGAAAGCCUGAUCCAGCCAUGCCGCGUGUGUGAAGAAGGCCUUCGGAUUGUAAAGCACUUUAAGUUGGGAGGAAGGGCAGUAAGCUAAUACCUUGCUGUUUUGACGUUACCCGCAGAAGAAGCACCGGCUAACUCCGUGCCAGCAGCCGCGGUAAU